RNAcentral lists this ribosomal RNA (96 nucleotides) under Chinchilla lanigera (long-tailed chinchilla). The record is from RNAcentral. Lineage: Eukaryota; Metazoa; Chordata; Mammalia; Rodentia; Chinchillidae.
AGCACCCUGGACGCGCCCGAUCUCGCCUGAUCUCCGCGGCUAAGCAGAGUCGGGCCUGGUUAGUUCUCGGAUGGGAGCCCGCCCGGGACAGAGGCU